AUUACUAAGCGGAGGAAAAGAAACUAACUAGGAUUCCCCCAGUAACGGCGAGUGAAGCGGGAAGAGCCCAGCACCGAAUCCCCUGCCUUCGGUAGGUGGGACCUGUGGCGUUCGGGACGUCGGUNGCGUCCGGGGAGCUUCGUCCGAGUCCUCCUGAUCGGGGCUUCCCAUAGCGGGUGUCAGGCCUCUA
Molecule: ribosomal RNA, 190 nt
Filed under: Loimia ingens
Lineage: Eukaryota; Metazoa; Annelida; Polychaeta; Terebellida; Terebellidae
Description: partial 28S ribosomal RNA
Rfam family: Eukaryotic large subunit ribosomal RNA
Source: RNAcentral